This is a non-coding RNA of Pelodiscus sinensis (Chinese soft-shelled turtle), 356 nucleotides long. Lineage: Eukaryota; Metazoa; Chordata; Testudines; Trionychidae. The record is from RefSeq and is a predicted model, not a curated record.
AGCAUCACUGGAUUUGUUUAUAUCUGGAGAAUCCAACUUGGAUAACUUGCUCUGAUGCCUCAAACGCUUGUCUACAUUACAUUCUCAAGCUCACACAACGCUUUCAUGCUCAGAAUAAUGACAAGAGAGUUCAGAGGAUAUUCCUUUCUAUAAUUCAGUGACUGGACAACUUUAAGUCUCAUGGGCAAGAGUAUUACCAUAAAUUCAGGCCAAGUGAGACUGAACACACCAGCUUCUCCUUAGGAUGCCAGAGUGAGUGAACAACUAUAAGGAAACAGUUUUGGGCAGGAGUGAGAACCACAUCAAAACAAGAGCAUCUUAUUCUGUGAGGACUACACAAUCUGGGAAUAGAUAAA